RNAcentral lists this long non-coding RNA (897 nucleotides) under Oncorhynchus kisutch (coho salmon). Its description in RNAcentral is "lncRNA (ENSOKIG00005008264.1)". The record is from RNAcentral. Lineage: Eukaryota; Metazoa; Chordata; Actinopteri; Salmoniformes; Salmonidae.
UAACACACAUACUCCCAUUCAUACUCCCCUCUGUCCUACUCUGUUGCUUCACAAUUGUUGAAUUAUUGACUCAAUUAGUCAAUCUACUGCUCUUCUACCCCCACACACACUUCUAAAGAAUUCCCUUCAGUCACCUAACAGGUUUGCUUCAGACUCCUACUCUGUUACCUCAGAAUGUCCCAUUUGUCCUACUAAAUGGCUUAAUAAAUCAAUCUACUAGGCUACUCUAAGGCUAUCUUUAUAGAUCAGAGCCUGUGCUGUCUCACACAAGCUCAGUCGUCGAGCCCCACGUCUGGAGACAACCCCUUGGGAAAAAUACCAGAGAGCUCAAGUUUCUUAGAGAGGAAAGACAGAGAAGAAGCUUUCGGGUUAGAAAAAAUGUUGUUUUUCUCUUUCCUUCUCUCUCCAAGGCUCUCCCCCUCCUCUCCCCUACACCCAUCCAGCUUCUAAAGUAUGCAGUACAGUAUAUUGUGUCAAUAUUGGAGUCUGUUCAAAUUAAGAAAGGAAGUGUUGCAUUCUUUUCAGUGCUGUUUAUUAAAACCACAAAAACAAUCACACUGUAAAUAAUGUAAUUUAGUAGGUGAAACAUUUGUUUGACAGGGUACAAAAAUUCAUGUCACACCACAUUAACCACAGAGCUAAUGUGUUGAGUGUUCUGUCCUUUCUUGCAGACCACACGCAGAGUUAAAGAGGAGAUAAAAGAGACCCAGAGUGGUUCCGACUGGGCCCAGAGUGAAAGAAGGAACAGAAGGUCCAGUUCAUUUACCACAAGGUAUGUAGUCCACCAGUGGAUUUGCAUAGCAAUGAGUGAGGAGAGACACUUUGGAAUCAUCCCUGUUUGAAAUAUUAUAUUUUUUCACGUGGUUUUCAGACAAUGUUUCAUAUGUACAUUUUUCA